GAAACCAUUUGCUUACAAUCAUUCAGAGCCCUAUGUAGCAAUACAGGGUGAUGGACUGCCUUUUGCAUAAUGAGCCUGCGAGUUGUGGUGUCUGGCAAGGUUAAGCAAACGCGAAGCCGUAGCGAAAGCGAGUCUGAAUAGGGCGCUUAGUCAGAUGCUGCAGACCCGAAACGAAGUGAUCUAUCCAUGAGCAAGUUGAAGCUAGUGUAAGAACUAGUGGAGGACUGAACCCAUAGGCGUUGAAAAGCCCCGGGAUGACUUGUGGAUAGGGGUGAAAGGCCAAUCAAACUUCGUGAUAGCUGGUUCUCUCCGAAAUAUAUUUAGGUAUAGCGUUGUGUCGUAAUAUAAGGGGGUAGAGCACUGAAUGGGCUAGGGCAUACACCAAUGUACCAAACCCUAUCAAACUCCGAAUACCUUAUAUGUAAUCACAGCAGUCAGGCGGCGAGUGAUAAAAUCCGUCGUCAAGAGGGAAACAACCCAGACUACCAGCUAAGGUCCCUAAAUCUUACUUAAGUGGAAAACGAUGUGAAGUUACUUAAACAACCAGGAGGUUGGCUUAGAAGCAGCCAUCCUUUAAAGAAAGCGUAAUAGCUCACUGGUCUAGUGAUUUUGCGCGGAAAAUAUAACGGGGCUAAAGUAAGUACCGAAGCUGUAGACUUGCGCACAACUUAGAUUAUUUAAGUUUAGAAUAUGAGAAACUAAGUUAUAUGUUUAGUUAUAUUUUUACUGAUUUUUAUAGAGUAAAGAUAGAAAUAAAACUUAGUAAAAUCAGUAAAAAUAUUCUUAGACUAAAGUUAAGUAGUUUAAGUUGUGUGCAAGUGGUAGGAGAGCGUUCUAUUUGCGUCGAAGGUAUACCGGUAAGGAGUGCUGGAGCGAAUAGAAGUGAGCAUGCAGGCAUGAGUAGCGAUAAUUAAUGUGAGAAUCAUUAACGCCGUAAACCCAAGGUUUCCUACGCGAUGCUCGUCAUCGUAGGGUUAGUCGGGUCCUAAGUCGAGUCCGAAAGGGGUAGACGAUGGCAAAUUGGUUAAUAUUCCAAUACCAACAUUAGUGUGCGAUGGAAGGACGCUUAGGGCUAAGGGGGCUAGCGGAUGGAAGUGCUAGUCUAAGGUCGUAGGAGGUUAUACAGGCAAAUCCGUAUAACAAUACUCCGAGAACUGAAAGGCUUUUUGAAGUCUUCGGAUGGAUAGAAGAACCCCUGAUGCCGUCGAGCCAAGAAAAGUUUCUAAGUUUAGCUAAUGUUGCCCGUACCGUAAACCGACACAGGUGGGUGGGAUGAGUAUUCUAAGGCGCGUGGAAGAACUCUCUUUAAGGAACUCUGCAAAAUAGCACCGUAUCUUCGGUAUAAGGUGUGGUUCGCUUCGUAUUAGGAUUUACUCCGAAAGCGAAGAAACUUACAACAAAGAGUCCCUCCCGACUGUUUACCAAAAACACAGCACUCUGCUAACUCGUAAGAGGAUGUAUAGGGUGUGACGCCUGCCCGGUGCUCGAAGGUUAAUUGAUGGGGUUAGCAUUAGCGAAGCUCUUGAUCGAAGCCCGAGUAAACGGCGGCCGUAACUAUAACGGUCCUAAGGUAGCGAAAUUCCUUGUCGGUUAAAUACCGACCUGCAUGAAUGGCGUAACGAGAUGGGAGCUGUCUCAAAGAGGGAUCCAGUGAAAUUGUAGUGGAGGUGAAAAUUCCUCCUACCCGCGGCAAGACGGAGAGACCCCGUGGACCUUUACUACAGCUUGACACUGCUAUUUGGAUAAGAAUGUGCAGGAUAGGUGGGAGGCUUUGAGUAUAUGACGCCAGUUGUAUAUGAGCCAUUGUUGAGAUACCACUCUUUCUUAUUUGGGUAGCUAACCAGCUUGAGUUAUCCUCAAGUGGGACAAUGUCUGGUGGGUAGUUUGACUGGGGCGGUCGCCUCCCAAAUAAUAACGGAGGCUUACAAAGGUUGGCUCAGAACGGUUGGAAAUCGUUCGUAGAGUAUAAAGGUAUAAGCCAGCUUAACUGCAAGACAUACAAGUCAAGCAGAGACGAAAGUCGGUCUUAGUGAUCCGGUGGUUCUGUGUGGAAGGGCCAUCGCUCAAAGGAUAAAAGGUACCCCGGGGAUAACAGGCUGAUCUCCCCCAAGAGCUCACAUCGACGGGGAGGUUUGGCACCUCGAUGUCGGCUCAUCGCAUCCUGGGGCUGGAGCAGGUCCCAAGGGUAUGGCUGUUCGCCAUUUAAAGCGGUACGCGAGCUGGGUUCAGAACGUCGUGAGACAGUUCGGUCCCUAUCUGCCGUGGGCGUAAGAAGAUUGAAGAGAUUUGACCCUAGUACGAGAGGACCGGGUUGAACAAACCACUGGUGUAGCUGUUGUUCUGCCAAGAGCAUCGCAGCGUAGCUAAGUUUGGAAAGGAUAAACGCUGAAAGCAUCUAAGCGUGAAGCCAACUCUAAGAUGAAUCUUCUCUAAGCUCUCUAGAAGACUACUAGUUUGAUAGGCUGGGUGUGUAAUGGAUGAAAGUCCUUUAGCUGACCAGUACUAAUAGAGCGUUUGGCUUAUCUUUAAUAAAGCAU
This 2537-nucleotide ribosomal RNA is filed under the name Campylobacter coli. RNAcentral's name for it is "partial 23S ribosomal RNA". It matches the Rfam family "Bacterial large subunit ribosomal RNA", at positions 552 to 2925 of the family's 2925-position model. Lineage: Bacteria; Pseudomonadati; Campylobacterota; Epsilonproteobacteria; Campylobacterales; Campylobacteraceae. The record is from RNAcentral.